This 431-nucleotide long non-coding RNA is filed under the name Sus scrofa (pig). RNAcentral's name for it is "lncRNA (ENSSSCG00005007357.1)". The record is from RNAcentral. Lineage: Eukaryota; Metazoa; Chordata; Mammalia; Artiodactyla; Suidae.
AACUGGAGCCACUUUUCAGCUGCCGCUGGCUCCCAUCUCAGCGCUUUUGCACCGAGAGUCGGUGUUUUUGCACGCUUCUCCCAGGUCAUCCAAUCAAAAGCCUCUGCUCCACCGGGCCAACCCACAGAGGUCCAGGGAUCAAAGGGGGCCCGAGGAUCCUGAAGGUGAAGCCCUGCCCGAGGCUCCACGGCUCCCCCAGGAAGGCCUUUGUGAUGAUUAUGAAGCCUGGGCAGGCACCCAAUCCCAAGCUGGGCCCUAUCACCCACCUCCUCCUUCCCUGGAAGCGGCCAGCGAUCCCCCUGCGGCCUUGGCAAGAGACCUUUAAAGAUGCAGGUGGAACCCGGAGAAAGCCACGCAGAGAAGCCGGGCCAGGUGAGAAUGUUUUCAUCGCUCCUCCUGCCAGCUGAUAGCAUGCGGGUAAAGAAUGGGAG